Molecule: long non-coding RNA, 259 nt
Filed under: Hordeum vulgare
Lineage: Eukaryota; Viridiplantae; Streptophyta; Magnoliopsida; Poales; Poaceae
Description: long non-coding RNA (HVUL_LNC019151)
Source: RNAcentral
ACCUCAAUGGUCCUUAUUUGUAUCACACGGUAUGUAUGGAUGUAAGACUCUUGUUAUUCGGUUUCUGUGUGUUUAGUGAGCAUUGAUCUCUGGGAUCACUGAGCAUGUACAUUCAGCGUUCUCGACCUGUAAGUCGGGGUCCCCACAGAGUUGGUAGCAGAGCCAUCCUGACUGUAGGAAGCCCUUAGUUAGCACGCACAUUAGUUAGGACAAAAGUGUUUUUCCACACCCUUUAGAAGCACUUACAAAACCUCUAUAU